Molecule: unclassified non-coding RNA, 90 nt
Filed under: Pseudomonas sp. NFACC16-2
Lineage: Bacteria; Pseudomonadati; Pseudomonadota; Gammaproteobacteria; Pseudomonadales; Pseudomonadaceae
Also listed under: 2 other names
Source: RNAcentral
UGUGGGAGCGAGCUUGCUCGCGAUGGCGGCUAGUCAGAUAACAUCAAUGUUGACUGACCGACCGCUAUCGCGAGCAAGCUCGCUCCCACA